RNAcentral lists this ribosomal RNA (514 nucleotides) under uncultured bacterium. RNAcentral's name for it is "partial 16S ribosomal RNA". It matches the Rfam family "Bacterial small subunit ribosomal RNA", at positions 29 to 523 of the family's 1533-position model. The record is from RNAcentral.
AGCGAACGCUGGCGGCGUGCUUAACACAUGCAAGUCGAACGUGAAAGGGAGCAAUCCCAAGUAAAGUGGCGUACGGGUGAAUAACGCGUAGGUAAUCUACCCCAAAAUCUGAAUAACUUGCCGAAAGGCGGGCUAAUACUGGAUAGAGCGAUGGAAUCCGUAAUUGGGUUUUUCGGGAAAGGGAGGUAGCAAUGCCCCUCGUUUUGGGAUGAGCCUGCGUCUCAUUAGCUAGUUGGCGAGGUAAUAGCUCACCAAGGCUUUGAUGGGUAGGUGGUCUGAGAGGAUGAUCAGCCACACUGGAACUGAAACACGGUCCAGACUCCUACGGGAGGCAGCAGUGGGGAAUCUUCCGCAAUGGACGAAAGUCUGACGGAGCAAUGCCGCGUGAGUGAGGAAGGCCUUCGGGUCGUAAAGCUCUGUUGUGAGGGAAGAACAAGUACCGGCGUAACUACCGGUACCGUGACGGUACCUCACCAGAAAGCCACGGCUAACUACGUGCCAGCCGCCGCCGUAA